UACGUAGGGUGCGAGCGUUAAUCGGAAUUACUGGGCGUAAAGCGUGCGCAGGCGGUUUUGUAAGCCAGAUGUGAAAUCCCCGGGCUCAACCUGGGAAUGGCAUUUGGGACUGCAAGGCUGGAGUUUGGCAGAGGAGACUGGAAUUCCCGGUGUAGCAGUGAAAUGCGUAGAGAUGUGGAGGAACACCGAUGGCGAAGGCAGCCCCCUGGGUCAAAACUGACGCUCAUGCACGAAAGCGUGGGGAGCAAACAGG
Molecule: ribosomal RNA, 253 nt
Filed under: uncultured prokaryote
Description: partial 16S ribosomal RNA
Rfam family: Bacterial small subunit ribosomal RNA
Source: RNAcentral